Molecule: RNA transcript, 4047 nt
Organism: Vigna angularis (adzuki bean)
Lineage: Eukaryota; Viridiplantae; Streptophyta; Magnoliopsida; Fabales; Fabaceae
Gene name: histone-lysine N-methyltransferase ATX2
Exons: 26
Source: RefSeq, a predicted model, not a curated record
AACCGAGGAGAGAAGAAGAAGACUUGCUGGUGGAAACGAUGGCGAAGACAGUGUGUAGGAGAUUUCAGAUAUAAUCUUGCAGUGAUUAUUAUUUGAUAAUAGAUUCCUUUUCUUUAACCUUUUAUUGUUGUUGUGUGCGGAAAGAGCUGUGUCUCUCUCUCAAUCUCACUCUGACGAGAGAGAGAGUGUGAGGAGUGAGUGUGUGUUUCGACACGGCGGGAAACAGAAUAAUUUGGGCAAUAACCCUCUCCCUCCAAAUCAAACACACACAACACACCACUUUCUAAUUCUCUCUCUUUUCUCAUUCUAUCGCCAAAACCCUAGCCAAGCUCCUUCUUUCCAUUUCCAUAUCCUUCCACAUGGCAGCGGCGUUCCAGGAAGGAGGAGGUGCCGACGACGAUGCCACCAUCGACGUCCACACAACGCGUGGCACGCCCAUCCGCUACCUUCCCCUCGACCACCUCUACUCUGCCACGUCGCCCUGCCGCGUCACGGCCAGCGGCUCCUCCAACGUCAUGUCCAAGAAGGUCAAGGCUCGAAAACUCACUACUCUCGCCGCGCAUCAUCAUUUCACAAACCACGACCACAAGAAAACCAUGUCGUCCUCAUCCUCCUCCUCCCACCCUCCUUCUUCCAAGCCUCCCUUGCUCUUCGUCUACUCGCGCCGCCGCAAGAGGCAUUCCCCUUCCACGGCGCUGUGCAAAACCGAGGGCAAGGUGAAUGCGGACGAGAAUGAGGAUGAGACAAGGUUGUUGAAGAAGAGGAAAAUUGGGAGCACUGAGUUGGAGAGGUUGGGUGUGGAUUUGAACACUGCGAUUGGGGAUGCUGACGGACCUCGAUUGAGGGAAUGCCGAAACCAAUUUGGGAAUUCUGGUGCUGCUGGGAAUGUUAAGUGUGGUUCCUUGGAGAAUUUGCCGAAAAUUUCGCCCGAUUCUCGCCCUGUGAAAAAAUGGGUCGGGUUGAGUUUUGAUAAUGCUGAUCCCGAGGUGUUUGUUGGAUUAAGAUGCAAGGUUUUUUGGCCCAUGGAUUUGAAAGCGUACACUGGCUAUGUCAGAGGUUAUGACAAGGAAACUAAGAUACAUCAUGUCAAGUAUGAUGAUGGAGACGAGGAAAAUUUGAUUCUUUCAAAUGAAAAUAUUAGAUUCCAUGUUUCCCGUGAUGAGGUGAAACAUUUAAAAUUGAAUCUUGCCAAAGUUCGUGACAACAAUGUCUCUGAUUAUGAUGUUGAAGAGAUGCUUGCAAUGGCUGCAAGUUUGGAUGAUUGUCAAGACUUUGAGCCUGGGGAUAUCAUAUGGGCUAAGCUAACAGGCCAUGCAAUGUGGCCAGCUGUUGUUUUGGAGGAAUCACUUGCUAGCAACUGUAAAGGUUUAAAGACGAGUUUGGGAGGAAGAUCAGUUCCUGUCCAAUUUUUUGGCACCCAUGACUUUGCAAGGGUUAGACUGCAACAGGUGAAAUCAUUUCUCAGUGGACUUCUUACCGAUCUACACUCAAAAUGCAAGAAACAUAGUUUUAUUGAAGGUUUAGAAGAGGCAAAAAGAUAUUUAAGUGAACAGAAGCUUCCUUUGGAAAUGCUAGAGUUGCAGAAAAGAUGUGCAGCAGAUAAUUGUAACAAUGUAAGUAGAGAGGAAGGAGGAUGUACAGAUUCAGGCGAUGAUUGUUUACAAGGCGAGAGGACUUUAUUGGCUAAGGAAACUGUUGAAAAUUUUCCUUACGAAUUAGGAGACCUCCAAAUUCUAAGCCUUGGAAAAAUAGUUGAAGAUUCUGCAUUCAGAGAUGGAAGGUUUAUCUGGCCUGAAGGGUACACAGCAGUGAGGAAGUUUGCUUCAGUUACUGGCCCAGAAGUUUUUGCUUCUUAUAAGAUGGAGGUGUUGAGAGAUCCAGAGUCCAAAGUUCGUCCUCUAUUUAGAGUGACAGUUGAUGGCGGCGAGCAGUUCAACGGUAAUACUCCAUCUGUUUGUUGGAACGAGAUAUUCAAAAAGAUAAAAGAAAUGGAAAAGAAUGCUUCUGAAGGCAGUCUUGCUGAAGGUGGGGUAGAAAGGGGCUACGCAUCUGGGUCUGAUAUGUUUGGUUUCUCCAAUCCUAAGGUGCUUAAACUUAUACAGGGAUUGUCUAAAUCCAAAAUCUCUUCAAGGAAUUCAUCUGGCAAGUUAGGUUCCCAAAGACAUAAUAACUUGCCUCUUGGUUAUAGACAAGUUCAUAUUAACUGGUUUGACCUCGAUAAGUGCAACGUGUGCCACAUGGAUGAGGAGUAUGAGAACAACCUGUUUCUGCAGUGUGACAAAUGCAGAAUGAUGGUCCAUGCUAGAUGUUAUGGAGAACUAGAACCUGUUAAUGGGGUGCUAUGGUUAUGCAACUUAUGUCGUUCAGGAGCUCCGCCUCCACCUUGCUGCUUAUGUCCACUCAUAGGUGGUGCAAUGAAGCCUACUACAGAUGGCCGGUGGGCUCAUUUGGCUUGUGCCAUGUGGAUACCUGAAACUUGUUUAGCUGAUGUCAAGAGAAUGGAGCCUAUUGAUGGUUUGAGUAGAAUCAGUAAGGACCGCUGGAAGUUGCUAUGCAGCAUAUGUGGUGUAUCUUAUGGUGCCUGCAUCCAAUGUUCAAAUAGUUCUUGUCGAGUAGCAUAUCACCCACUCUGUGCACGUGCUGCUGGUCUCUGUGUUGAGCUUGAAAAUGAGGAUAGGCUCUAUCUGCUUUCUGUUGACGAUGAUGAAGAUCAGUGCAUACGCUUACUCUCUUUCUGCAAGAAACAUAGGCAACCGUCCAAUGAACAUUCUGUUGCUGAUGAUCGUAUAGUUCGAGUAUCUGGUCUAUGUUCAGACUAUGAACCACCGCCCAAUCCAUCUGGUUGUGCUCGAAGUGAACCAUAUGAUUACUUUGGCAGGAGAGGUCGAAAGGAACCUGAAGCACUUGCAGCUGCAUCAUUGAAACGGUUGUUCGUGGAGAAUCAGCCUUACUUAGUAGGUGGAUACUGCCAGCAUGGAUCAUUAAAUGACCCAGAGCCUUCUGGCAGAGGAGUCUGCUCCAAAUUUUUUUGUAGCCAACAAAGGCUAAGAACAUCUCUGAUGGACACAUCUAACAACAUACUUUCUAUCUCUGAAAAAUAUGAGUACAUGAGGGAAACCUUUCGGAAGCGGCUUGCAUUUGGGAAAUCAAGAAUUCAUGGAUUUGGCAUCUUUGCAAAGCAUCCACAUAAAGGUGGAGACAUGGUGAUUGAAUACACUGGUGAACUUGUUAGACCACCAAUAGCUGACCGGAGAGAACACUUUAUAUACAAUUCAUUGGUCGGUGCUGGAACAUAUAUGUUUCGGAUUGACGAUGAACGAGUCAUUGAUGCUACUAGAGCAGGAAGCAUUGCUCAUUUAAUAAACCAUUCUUGUGCACCAAAUUGCUAUUCAAGAGUAAUAAGUGUUAAUGGCGACGAGCAUAUUAUAAUAUUUGCAAAGAGGGACAUAAAACAGUGGGAAGAGCUUACAUAUGAUUAUAGAUUUUUCUCAAUUGAUGAACGGCUUGCUUGUUAUUGUGGCUUCCCAAAGUGCCGAGGUAUAGUAAACGAUACGGAAGCAGAAGAGCGAGCUGCUACCCUUUAUGCACCACGAAGGGAAUUGAUAGAUUGGAGAGGAGAAUGAGAGGUUUCUCUGAAUUAGAACAUUUCAUUUUUGUUUCAACCUCACAUUUCAUUGAAUCUGAUUUUUAACUCUUAUAUUAUGUAAGUUCCUUCUGAAGAUGAAUUGUUUGUCCAACCUCUGUCAUGGAUUCUACCAUUUCCUUGAAAGGACAGUGUUGUACAUAGCACAUCUGAUUUUUCCCAUUGUUUCAUCAUAACCCCGACUGAGCCCACUGAGGGGAGGUUUCCAUUGGAGUUCUGGUUAUAAUGAUUGGAAAGAUGUACCAGACUUUUUACAAAUGUUUCAUUUGAAAUUCAUUGCCACAAUUACGGCUGUUUAACUUCAACCAACUUGCUGAGAUAUUGUAACUUGUCAUUGGAUAGGUACAGUUGUAAUUACAUCAAACCUUCAUAAAAAUGAAAAGAAAUUGAGAUUUCAAAUGGAA